AUUGAACGCUGGCGGCGUGCUUAACACAUGCAAGUCGAUCGGUAACAGGUGUAGCAAUACAUGCUGACGAGAGGCGGACGGGUGAGUAAUGCUUGGGAAUCUGCCUAUUAGUGGGGGACAACCCGGGGAAACUCGGGCUAAUACCGCAUACGCUCUACGGAGGAAAGCCGGGGACCGCAAGGCCUGGCGCUAAUAGAUGAGCCCAAGUCGGAUUAGCUAGUUGGUAGGGUAACGGCCUACCAAGGCGACAAUCCGUAGCUGGUCUGAGAGGACGACCAGCCACACCGGAACUGAGACACGGUCCGGACUCCUACGGGAGGCAGCAGUGGGGAAUAUUGGACAAUGGGGGCAACCCUGAUCCAGCGACGCCGCGUGGGUGAAGAAGGCCUGCGGGUUGUAAAGCCCUUUCGGUGGGAAGAAAAGCUCGACUAAUACGUCGGGACCUUGACCGUAACCCACUAAAGAAGCACCGGCUAACUCUGUGCC
Molecule: ribosomal RNA, 486 nt
Filed under: uncultured bacterium
Lineage: Bacteria
Description: bacterial SSU rRNA
Rfam family: Bacterial small subunit ribosomal RNA
Source: RNAcentral